Molecule: ribosomal RNA, 2194 nt
Filed under: Pyrobaculum oguniense TE7
Lineage: Archaea; Thermoproteati; Thermoproteota; Thermoprotei; Thermoproteales; Thermoproteaceae
Description: 16S ribosomal RNA
Rfam family: Archaeal small subunit ribosomal RNA
Source: RNAcentral
AAACCGGUUGAUCCUGCCGGACCCGACCGCUAUCGGGGUAGGGCUAAGCCAUGCGAGUCGCGCGCCCGGGGGCGCCCGGGAGCGGCGCACGGCUCAGUAACACGUGCCCAACCUACCCUCGGGAGGGGGACACCCCCGGGAAACUGGGGCCAAUCCCCCAUAGGGGAAGGGCGCUGGAAGGCCCCUUCCCCGAAAGGGACGGCGGCCGAUCCGUCGCCGUCCGCCCGAGGGUGGGGUCACGGCCCAUCAGGUAGUUGGCGGGUUAAAGGCCCGCCAAGCCGAAGACGGGUAGGGGCGGUGAGAGCCGCGAGCCCCGAGAUCGGCACUGAGACAAGGGCCGAGGCCCUACGGGGUGCAGCAGGCGCGAAUACUCCGCAAUGCGGGCAACCGCGACGGGGCUACCCCGAGUGCCGGGCGAAGAGCCCGGCUUUUGCCCGGUCUAAAACGCCGGGCGAAUAAGCGGGGGGCAAGUCUGGUGUCAGCCGCCGCGGUAAUACCAGCCCCGCGAGUGGUCGGGGUGUUUACUGGGCUUAAAGCGCCCGUAGCCGGCCCGGCAAGUCGCUCCUGAAAUCCCCGGGCCCAACCCGGGGACGGGGGGCGAUACUGCCGGGCUAGGGGGCGGGAGAGGCCGCCGGUACUCCGGGGGUAGGGGCGAAAUCCGUUAAUCCCCGGAGGACCACCAGUGGCGAAAGCGGGCGGCCAGAACGCGCCCGACGGUGAGGGGCGAAAGCCGGGGGAGCAAAGGGGAUUAGAUACCCCUGUAGUCCCGGCCGUAAACGAUGCGGGCUAGCUGUCGGCUGGGCUUAGGGCCCGGCCGGUGGCGAAGGGAAACCGUUAAGCCCGCCGCCUGGGGAGUACGGCCGCAAGGCUGAAACUUAAAGGAAUUGGCGGGGGGGCACCACAAGGGGUGAAGCUUGCGGCUUAAUUGGAGUCAACGCCGGAAACCUCACCCGGGGCGACAGCAGGAUGAAGGCCAGGCUAACGACCUUGCCGGACGAGCUGAGAGGAGGUGCAUGGCCGUCGUCAGCUCGUGCCGUGAGGUGUCCGGUUAAGUCCGGCAACGAGCGAGACCCCCGCCCCUAGUUGCUACCCCGUCCUACGGGACGGGGGGCACACUAGGGGGACUGCCGGCGUAAGCCGGAGGAAGGAGGGGGCCACGGCAGGUCAGUAUAGGGGCCUAUCCGCAAGGAGGGCCCCGCUGAGGCCCCGAAAGCCGUGGCCCCCAGGUAGGGACUUUAUAAAAAGAGCGUAAAGCCAAACGUGAAGACCUGGGACUACCUCUGCGGCUUAGUAGCGGCAGAUGGACACAUCGACGAGAAUGGCUACAUAACUAUAUCCCAGAAAGACAAGAGAUUCGUCGAGAAGAUUGUGGAGCUGUUAAAAGACGCUGGCGUGCAGAUCAGAUCAGUCUUCUACGAUAAGGAGGCGGGCGUUUGGAAGAUAAAAGUCAAGGACUACCCCUUCUAUCACUACUUGGUCAGCAACGGCGUGCCGCCGGGCAGAAAAGCACAUCGCAUAAAGCCGCCAAGCUCAGCAGUAGACCCGCUGUGGUACAUAGCAGGUUUUAUAGACGGAGACGGCUGGGUGGAACAAGUAGUCAAAAAGGCCAAGGGCAGGACCUACUACUACAUACGCAUAGGCCUAAAAACCAAGAGCAGAGACCUCCGGGACUGGGUCUUACAAGCCCUGGCCGGCCUGGGCAUCCGGGCCCACAAAGCAGAUAAAAAAGACGGAUACGAGGUCCACAUAGACAGCGCAGACGCCUGGCGCAUCAUCCCCCUCCUCCAAAACCCAUCCCAUCUAGAGAAGGCCAGGUCGGCCAGGGACGACAGACUCUAGCCUUCCUCCUGCCCUACCUGGGGCCGCGGCCGGGAGACCCCGGGGCUGCACGCGAGCUGCAAUGGCGGGGACAGCGGGAACCGACCCCGAAAGGGGGAGGCAAUCCCGUAAACCCCGCCCCAGUAGGGAUCGAGGGCUGCAACUCGCCCUCGUGAACGUGGAAUCCCUAGUAACCGCGUGUCACCAACGCGCGGUGAAUACGUCCCUGCCCCUUGCACACACCGCCCGUCGCACCACCCGAGGGAGCUCCCUGCGAGGCCCCUUGCCGAAAGGUGGGGGGACGAGCAGGGGGCUCCCAAGGGGGGUGAAGUCGUAACAAGGUAGCCGUAGGGGAACCUGCGGCUGGAUCACCUCC